CCUACGGGGGACUGCAGUGAGGAAUAUUGGUCAAUGGGCGCGAGCCUGAACCAGCCAAGUCGCGUGAGGGAAGACGGUCCUAUGGAUUGUAAACCUCUUUUGUCGGGGAGCAAAAGACGCCACGCGUGGCGUUCCGAGAGUACCCGAAGAAAAAGCAUCGGCUAACUCCGUGCCAGCAGCCGCGGUAAUACGGAGGAUGCGAGCGUUAUCCGGAUUUAUUGGGUUUAAGGGGUGCGUAGGCGGAUUUUUAAGUCAGCGGUAAAAUGUCCGGGCUCAACCCGGGCCGGCCGUUGAAACUGGGGAUCUUGAGUGCGCGAGAGGCAUGCGGAAUGCGUGGUGUAGCGGUGAAAUGCAUAGAUAUCGCGCAGAACCCCGAUUGCGAAGGUAGCGUACCGGCUCCACACUGACGCUGAGGCACGAAAGCGUGGGUAUCGAACAGGAUUAGAUACCCGGGUAGUC
Molecule: ribosomal RNA, 459 nt
Filed under: uncultured bacterium
Lineage: Bacteria
Description: partial 16S ribosomal RNA
Rfam family: Bacterial small subunit ribosomal RNA
Source: RNAcentral